This 246-nucleotide ribosomal RNA is filed under the name Arthrobacter sp. Le1-4. RNAcentral's name for it is "partial 16S ribosomal RNA". It matches the Rfam family "Bacterial small subunit ribosomal RNA", at positions 131 to 377 of the family's 1533-position model. The record is from RNAcentral. Lineage: Bacteria; Bacillati; Actinomycetota; Actinomycetes; Micrococcales; Micrococcaceae.
CUUGACUCUGGGAUAAGCCUGGGAAACUGGGUCUAAUACCGGAUACGACCAUCUGGCGCAUGUCAUGGUGGUGGAAAGCUUUUGUGGUUUUGGAUGGACUCGCGGCCUAUCAGCUUGUUGGUGGGGUAAUGGCCUACCAAGGCGACGACGGGUAGCCGGCCUGAGAGGGUGACCGGCCACACUGGGACUGAGACACGGCCCAGACUCCUACGGGAGGCAGCAGUGGGGAAUAUUGCACAAUGGGCG